AAGCGUUCUCAGGGCAGGGUGCAACUCCCUACCGGCGGUGAUGGCGGGCCUGCGGGCCGGCACGAGCCCGCGAGCGCCGGCCAACCGCGGCACCCUUUCCUGCAAGGGCGCCGCGGGUGGCCGGGUCAGCAGACCCGGUGCGAUCCCGGGGCCGACGGUGACAGUCCGGAUGAAAGAGAACGCGC
RNAcentral lists this non-coding RNA (185 nucleotides) under Xylophilus sp. Leaf220. Its description in RNAcentral is "FMN riboswitch aptamer (RFN element)". It matches the Rfam family "FMN riboswitch aptamer (RFN element)". Rfam says of the family: The RFN element is a highly conserved domain that is found frequently in the 5'-untranslated regions of prokaryotic mRNAs that encode for flavin mononucleotide (FMN) biosynthesis and transport proteins. This element is a metabolite-dependent riboswitch that directly binds FMN in the absence of proteins. The record is from Rfam by way of RNAcentral. RNAcentral also lists the same sequence under 1 other name. Lineage: Bacteria; Pseudomonadati; Pseudomonadota; Betaproteobacteria; Burkholderiales.